AACAAGGUAGGAUAAAUUUUAAGUCUGAGGGGCCCAUACCCCCUAGGUGGAGAUUCCUUUUGUUG
This 65-nucleotide transfer RNA is filed under the name Ascaridia columbae. RNAcentral's name for it is "tRNA-Met". The record is from RNAcentral. Lineage: Eukaryota; Metazoa; Nematoda; Chromadorea; Rhabditida; Ascaridiidae.